CCUAGAUAGGCUUUGGUUCAAUUUGCACAGAAAGGUAGAAAGCUGCACGCCUUUACUUUAUUCUCCUGGAAUGGUCUGAGGAGAAAAUAGAGACGUCCCUCCUUUAAAAAGCCCCCACGGUGCAGUGUUUUUCUUGUUAAGUACUCCCAGCUUAAUGUGCUGACACUAUUAGCCUGGACUAAACGGGCUAGAUCUGGAUGCUCCACGAGAUCAAGUUCAAAGUGGGUCAGAGGGCUGACAAAAUAUGAAUUUCGCCUUCCCAGCACAGUAUUUCUACAGGAAAGCUGAUAUGCCUGUCUUGACAGUGGAACAAGGGCAAUCAUGGAUGGUGCUAUUAUCUACAGCAUCAGAACCUGCUGGAGAACACUGUACAAGCUGAUAAGGGAGCUUCACCAGUAACCAGUGUUAGCUGCUGGGCAUUGAGGAUGGAGGGCGAUGCUGUUGAAAUACACUUUGUUGAGUAAGUCAUUUUACGCUUCUCUCAUCUACAGGCAUGAGGUGUGGAUGCCCUUUGUGGUUCUUUCUGGAUUACAUAUAUAGCAUCUGUUUUGGGUUCCUCAAUCCACACAAUACAUACCUAAGCAAGAGGGUCAGCAUU
Molecule: long non-coding RNA, 598 nt
Filed under: Sus scrofa (pig)
Lineage: Eukaryota; Metazoa; Chordata; Mammalia; Artiodactyla; Suidae
Description: lncRNA (ENSSSCG00070025447.1)
Source: RNAcentral